Molecule: long non-coding RNA, 1909 nt
Filed under: Triticum aestivum (bread wheat)
Lineage: Eukaryota; Viridiplantae; Streptophyta; Magnoliopsida; Poales; Poaceae
Description: long non-coding RNA (TAES_LNC013792)
Source: RNAcentral
UUAUUCCCCUAUAACGCAGGCGCAUUAAUCGACUGCUCACCGUAGGUAGCAGGACUGGGUUUGCAAUAUCAAGAUAAUCUUAUCGACCUUGCUAUGUUGGUAAAGUCUGAAGCUUAAACUUUUUACUAACUUCUCCACUUUCUGUUUUCUUACAGUCCAGUACUUGACAAUUCCUUACCUGGUUGUGUAUGCCUACCAUUUAAGCUCAUCGUGUCCUUCCUUUGUGCAUAACUUGUAUUUUUAUUUGUUAUAUUUAGAUUGAGUAAGCAGCGUACAACUCCAGUGCACGUACACAAUUAGCUGUAGCUGUUGGGGAAGGUGAGUAAGCACACAACUGAUUAAAAUAGUGUAGAUAGUACUAGUACUAGUUGCUUAUGGCACGUAGUUGUACAUAAGGUGAUGAACGGCCAAAUUCAUAGCAUGUCUAAAUCAAUUCAGAGAUGAGAAAACAUACAGUUAACAGGAAUAAUGUGGCAUGUAGUGGUUGGGUGAUGACCUCCAGAUAUUGCAUCAUUCUGAGAUUGUUCAGUACAUUGAAUGGAUGAAUGGCUGUCACUUCUUACUAAAGAAACAUUUUUCUGUUUUGAUCUGCGAUUUUUUAGUACAUUACCGAUCUGUUUUUGUAGUGAUGUGCUGAUCUAAACUUUUGUAGUAACCAAAGCGUCAAACAACUAUACUUAUGCAACUAAGGCCCUGUUUGAUAGCUCUGUAUUUUCUAAGUAUUCUGAAAAUACUACAGUUUUUAGGAUUACCAUGGUUUUAAUUACUUUGAGCUGUUUGACAAGACCUAAAAACUAAGAUAUUAAUACUGCAGUUUUUCCAAUACUAUGGUAUUUUCUCUGUUUAAAAAAAGAACCUCAGGCCUCUCUUUUUUUAAACUGAGCACGCGAAAGAACAAACUCAUCGUUAUCUUCGGUCGCUCCCAAGCCGCCGCCGGCAGCCCCAUUGUCUGUGGAGGUCGUCUUGAUCGGGCGGCCAUGGACAGAUCAAGGAACGGCAGUACAGUGCAGUACGAACUGCCAUGGUUGAUGGGGUGGAGCAAGCUGCUCCGGGCAACGCGGAUGAAAGCCAAGUUUUUUCAGUUCACGAGCAGCUUCGCCGCAUGAUCCGUUGCCGACACCACCAUCUUGCGGAGCUUUAGGUCAUGCCUCCACGCACACCUCUUGGUGAUCCGAGACGCGAAAAGAAAACCAAGCUGCUCGGGGCAACGCGCAGCUCCGCCGUUGACUGCCUCCUCCUAAUCCAAUUUGCUCUGGUAGGUGUAACACCGAGAUUGUGCAUGGCGUGUUUAGCUUGGCCAUUCAGUUCGUGCAUGAUCAUACAUCUGUGCUAAGUGCAUGGCCGUUAAUCAGUUUAGAUGUGUCUAGCUAGCUCAACGCACCGUUCGGAACUGCUUGAAACGGCUCUUGCCAAACAGGUGAACAAUAUUCUAAAUACUUUCAAAUACUCUGUUAUGGCAAAACUGUGGUAUUGUGUAUCUACGAACUAAAUUACUGUAGUUUGCAAUACUUCAGUUUUUAUAAUACUUUGUUAUCAAACGGGGCCUAAUUAUGAAAUAUGUUCAGUAGAUUACUAUAGUUCAUUGUCAUAUGCCGCCCUACUGGACUCACUAGUCAUUCACAUGCUACUUAGAACUUUAAGUAGCACACUAGUUAAAAGUGCAGCAGGGAUCCAUGUAAAUUUUUUUGACCGACAAUUUUUAUACAAGUUUGUGUCUUCUUGUUUUGCCAAACUAAUAUACCGUAUUAUUGGCCCAUCUGCAUACCCGCAAAUCUAGUUAAUAAUGUACUCAGAUUCGUAAUCUGAUAGAUUAUAUGCUUCUUAGUGGUACUGUUAUACGUUUUUAUCUUGUAUGUUUUCAUCGCAUUAAGAUGCAACACGCUGUUGUGUUUCCUCAGUUUAUAGGCAU